GAUGAACGCUGGCGGCGUGCUUAACACAUGCAAGUCGAACGAUGAUCCGGUGCCUGCACCGGGGAUUAGUGGCGAACGGGUGAGUAACACGUGAGUAACCUGCCCUUAACUCUGGGAUAAGCCUGGGAAACUGGGUCUAAUACCGGAUAUGACUCCUCAUCGCAUGGUGGGGGGUGGAAAGCUUUUGUGGUUUUGGAUGGACUCGCGGCCUAUCAGCUUGUUGGUGGGGUAAUGGCUCACCAAGGCGACGACGGGUAGCCGGCCUGAGAGGGGGACCGGCCACACUGGGACUGAGACACGGCCCAGACUCCUACGGGAGGCAGCAGUGGGGAAUAUUGCACAAUGGGCGGAAGCCUGAUGCAGCGACGCCGCGUGAGGGAUGACGGCCUUCGGGUUGUAAACCUCUUUCAGUAGGGAAGAAGCGAAAGUGACGGUACCUGCAGAAGAAGCGCCGGCUAACUACGUGCCAGCAGCCGCCGCCG
This 482-nucleotide ribosomal RNA is filed under the name uncultured bacterium. RNAcentral describes it as "partial 16S ribosomal RNA". It matches the Rfam family "Bacterial small subunit ribosomal RNA", at positions 28 to 523 of the family's 1533-position model. The record is from RNAcentral.